AGUAAGGAAUAUUGGGCAAUGGACGCAAGUCUGACCCAGCCAUGCCGCGUGCAGGAUUGAAGGCCCUAUGGGUUGUAAACUGCUUUUAUAUGCCAAGAAACCCCCGAACGUGUUCGGGGCUGACGGUAGCAUACGAAUAAGCACCGGCUAACUCCGUGCCAGCAGCCGCGGUAAUACGGAGGGUGCAAGCGUUAUCCGGAUUUAUUGGGUUUAAAGGGUGCGCAGGCGGAAUGAUAAGUCAGUGGUGAAAUCCUACAGCUCAACUGUAGAACUGCCAUUGAUACUGUCGUUCUUGAGUACAUUUGAGGUAGGCGGAAUGUAUCAUGUAGCGGUGAAAUGCAUAGAUAUGAUACAGAACACCGAUAGCGAAGGCAGCUUACCAAACUGUAACUGACGCUCAGGCACGAAAGCGUGGGGAGCAAACAGGAUUAGAUACCCUGGUAGUCCACGCCGUAAACGAUGAUCACUCGCUGUUGGCGAUAAACAGUCAGCGGCUAAGCGAAAGUGUUAAGUGAUCCACCUGGGGAGUACGAUCGCAAGGUUGAAACUCAAAGGAAUUGACGGGGGCCCGCACAAGCGGAGGAGCAUGUGGUUUAAUUCGAUGAUACGCGAGGAACCUUACCUGGGCUUAAAUGUAGGACGACCGUCCGGGAAACCGGAUUUCUCUUCGGAGCGACUUACAAGGUGCUGCAUGGUUGUCGUCAGCUCGUGCCGUGAGGUGUCGGGUUAAGUCCCAUAACGAGCGCAACCCCUAUUCUUAGUUACCAUCAGAUAAUGCUGGGGACUCUAAGAAAACUGCCAGCGCAAGCUGUGAGGAAGGUGGGGAUGACGUCAAAUCAGCACGGCCCUUAUGUCCAGGGCUACACACGUGCUACAAUGGCCGGCACAGAGGGUCGCUACCUGGUGACAGGAUGCUAAUCUCGAAAACCGGUCUCAGUCCGGAUCGAAGUCUGCAACUCGACUUCGUGAAGUUGGAUUCGCUAGUAAUCGCAUAUCAGCAAUGGUGCGGUGAAUACGU
This 1018-nucleotide ribosomal RNA is filed under the name uncultured bacterium. RNAcentral's name for it is "bacterial SSU rRNA". It matches the Rfam family "Bacterial small subunit ribosomal RNA", at positions 353 to 1371 of the family's 1533-position model. The record is from RNAcentral.